This 253-nucleotide ribosomal RNA is filed under the name uncultured bacterium. RNAcentral's name for it is "partial 16S ribosomal RNA". It matches the Rfam family "Bacterial small subunit ribosomal RNA", at positions 524 to 776 of the family's 1533-position model. The record is from RNAcentral.
UACGGAGGGUGCAAGCGUUAUCCGGAUUCACUGGGUUUAAAGGGUGCGUAGGCGGGUUGGUAAGUCCGUGGUGAAAUCUCCGAGCUUAACUCGGAAACUGCCGUGGAUACUAUCAAUCUUGAAUAUCGUGGAGGUAAGCGGAAUAUGUCAUGUAGCGGUGAAAUGCUUAGAUAUGACAUAGAACACCAAUUGCGAAGGCAGCUCACUACACGAAUAUUGACACUGAGGCACGAAAGCGUGGGGAUCAAACAGG